RNAcentral lists this ribosomal RNA (460 nucleotides) under uncultured bacterium. RNAcentral's name for it is "partial 16S ribosomal RNA". It matches the Rfam family "Bacterial small subunit ribosomal RNA", at positions 28 to 507 of the family's 1533-position model. The record is from RNAcentral.
GACGAACGCUGGCGGCGUGCUUAACACAUGCAAGUCGAGCGGUAAGGCCCCUUCGGGGGUACACGCGCGGCGAACGGGCGAGUAACACGCGGGUGACCUGCCUUCAGCUCUGGGAUAAGUCUGGGAAACAGGGUCUAAUACAGGCCAUGAACUUUCCUCGCAUGGGGUUUGGGGGAAAGUUUUUUUGGCUGGGGAGGGGCGCGCGCCCUAUCUGUUUGUUGGUGGGGUGAUGGCCAACCAAGGCGGCGACGGGAGGCCGGCCGGGGAGGGCGACCGGCCACGCUCGGAGUGAGGCCCGACCCUGACUCGUGCGGGAGGCGGCGGUGAGGUAUCUUGCGGGGUGGACGCAUGCCUGACGCAGCGACGCUGCGUGGUGACGGCCGGCGUUCUGGUUGUAAACCUCUUUCGACCCCGACGGAUUUUGACGGUAGGGGUAGAAGAAGCACCGGCCAACUACGUG